Molecule: ribosomal RNA, 460 nt
Filed under: uncultured bacterium
Lineage: Bacteria
Description: partial 16S ribosomal RNA
Rfam family: Bacterial small subunit ribosomal RNA
Source: RNAcentral
CCUACGGGGGGCAGCAGUGAGGAAUAUUGGUCAAUGGACGAGAGUCUGAACCAGCCAAGUAGCGUGAAGGAUGACUGCCCUAUGGGUUGUAAACUUCUUUUAUAAAGGAAUAAAACGAGGCACGUGUGCCUUUUUGCAUGUACUUUAUGAAUAAGGAUCGGCUAACUCCGUGCCAGCAGCCGCGGUAAUACGGAGGAUCCGAGCGUUAUCCGGAUUUAUUGGGUUUAAAGGGAGCGUAGAUGGGUUGUUAAGUCAGUUGUGAAAGUUUGCGGCUCAACCGUAAAAUUGCAAUUGAUACUGGCAGUCGUGAGUACAGUUGAGGUAAGCGGAAUUCGUGGUGUAGCGGUGAAAUGCUUAGAUAUCACGAAGAACCCCGAUUGCGAAGGCAGCUUACUAAACUGUGACUGACAUUGAUGCUCGAAAGUGUGGGUAUCAAACAGGAUUAGAUACCCGGGUAGUC